This 253-nucleotide ribosomal RNA is filed under the name uncultured bacterium. Its description in RNAcentral is "partial 16S ribosomal RNA". It matches the Rfam family "Bacterial small subunit ribosomal RNA", at positions 524 to 776 of the family's 1533-position model. The record is from RNAcentral.
UACGUAGGGGGCAAGCGUUGUCCGGAUUUAUUGGGCGUAAAGCGCUCGCAGGUGGUUCGAUACGUCGUGCGUGAAAGACCCCGGCUCAACUGGGGAGGGUCGUGCGAUACGGUCGGACUGGAGGCCAGUAGGGGGAUGCGGAAUUCCGGGUGUAGUGGUGGAAUGCGUAGAGAUCCGGAGGAACACCAGCGGCGAAGGCGGCAUCCUGGACUGGUCCUGACACUCAUGAGCGAAAGCGUGGGGAGCGAUCCGG